This is a long non-coding RNA of Chenopodium quinoa (quinoa), 3528 nucleotides long. RefSeq lists it as uncharacterized. The transcript has 4 exons. The record is from RefSeq and is a predicted model, not a curated record. Lineage: Eukaryota; Viridiplantae; Streptophyta; Magnoliopsida; Caryophyllales; Amaranthaceae.
UGUGCUUUUGAUAAGAAUAUGCAUAUUUAGUAUAGAGGAUUUGCAAAUUUCUGCUAAUAAAUUUGCACAUAAUUUGUAAAUUAUAUAUGCACAUUUUGUACAUAUAAAAUGCAAAUAUAGCAUAAAAGUUAUGCAUAUUUAAUCUUCACUCUUUGAUAUAUUCCCCUGUUUCCAUAUAUUUUCAACGACAUAUUGAUCAUAGUCAUGAUUCUUUUUUUUUUUUUUUUUUUUUUUUUUUUUUUUUUUUUGAAAACUGAGAGAAAAAAAAAGGGUGGGAGAAGAGAUAGUUAGAGAGGAGCGAAAGGGAGAGGAACAGGGAGGAGAGAGAGAAAUGGGGAAAAUUUCAUAAGUUAUUGAAUCUACUUUUGAACUCUACGAAAAAAAUAAUGGGGAUAAGUGAUGAAGAGGGAGGAAAGAGAGGAAGAUGACUAGAGGAAUUUGAGGAGGAGAGAGAAAUAGAGAAAAUUAUUAUUUACAAUUUUGCCAUUAAUGAAGCUUAUAAUGAGAGCCAUUAGAUCAUCUUUUUUGAACUUAUGAGAUUACUUCUCAUUAUAAAGUCUUUCUCAUUUGACCCUAUAUAUAUGUAUAUAUGUAGGACCAAGUUAUAAUGAGAACCAAUCUUAUAAUAGGAACUAGGAACUCAGGAGGACCGUCAGAUCUAACAAGAAACACGCCUUAAUGAACGGCCAAGAUCUAUACUGAAGCGCGAUCGUGAAUUUUCUGUCUCCUUCACCACUUUCUUUCUCCUCAAGCUUUCUCUCUCCUCAAACGCUCUCUCGAUCUCCUCUGCAAACUGGAUCAUUCACCGCCAUUAAUCUCUCUCCUCCAGCACUAUUUCUCUGCUCCACGAACUGGAAAACCUCCAUUAAUUGCAGAAUCGAUGUCUAAAAAGGCUCUAUGGCAGAAUGCGAUGGUGGGUGUCAUGGGUUUUUUUAAGCUCGUGGAAGACUUCAAACUCUAUGCAUCUGCUAUCUCAGGGGGAGCUGGGUCUGUUCAGGUGAGUACAGGGGAGAGAUUGGUUUUAUCUCGUGAGAAAUGGGUGCACCCGGUGAUGGGCGGGUAAACACAAAUGCUGCAGUUAUGGAGGGGAUUGGCGUGGGGCUGGGGGUCUGCAUUCGAGAUUUGGAGGGGAAGCUCUUGCUGUGGCAGAUCCGCUGUUGAAUCUGUGAAGCUCGCUGAGGCUCUAGCAGCAAGGAUGAGAGUGAGGCUUGCUAAGAGGCUUGGAUUUAAAGACAUUGAGCUAAAAUUUGAUGCUCUUGAAAUUGUCAAGCUAUAUGGUCGGAGACCCCUGGCAGAACCCCAACAGAGAUAGUGAUUGAAGAUAUUAGAUAUAUGUGAUUUGAAGAAUCCUGGCAGAUGCUGCAAAAUCCCUUGGUAAAAUUCAAAAUAAGAUCGGAGAAGUGCAGAUCCCUACAAUCAAAUUACCUUUCCCAAAUCGACAUCUCAAGAAUAAGUUGGACAAGCAGUUUGGUUAUGCUGGCAUUUGGAGCAGUGAGAUGGAUGCUAUUGAAAAAGCUCUAGCAAAUGAGCAACUUGACCCUAAGGAAAGCGAUAAGGUAGAAAAAUUUGUGGAGGUAAAGAAACCCAAACUUAAACCUCUCCCUUCUAACUUGAAAUAUGUAGUUUUAGAUGAGUAGGAACCGCACCUCGUGAUCAUCAGUACUGCACUUGAUGAACCCCAAACUUCCCAACUCCUAGAGGUUCUCUAAACCCACAAAAAGGCAAUUGGGUACAGUAUUGAUGAUCUCAAGGGUAUUAGCCCUGAAUUUUGCAUGCACAGGAUACAUUUAGAGGAAAAUCACAAGCCAUGUAUUCAACCACAGAGUAGGUUGAAUCCUAACAUGCAGGAAGUCGUCAAGAAAGAGGUUAUGAAAUUACUUGAUGCAGGUAUUAUCUAUCCGAUUUAUGACUCAAAGUGGGUGUUGAGGUAAAUAUUGUUCUUUACUAAGUUAGAUACUCUAUCUUGUUCCAGAGUAUUACACAAUUAUUAAUGGUUUAUACGAAGUAUUGUUUAGUGAUAAUAUAGCUAGUGUUGAUCUAGAAUAAUUUGUGGUUUGGUAGUAUGACUAGUAGUAUACUAUGGACAGUACACACUUUGGCCUGAAUAUUUUCCUAGCUAACUUCCUUAAAUGAAAUUAGAAGAAUGAAUGUGGAUGGUAACUUACCAUCACCUAUAACAUGUUGAGUAGAACCCAUUAUCAAGUUUAGUGACUAUAGAAGUCACGUGAAGGAGAAGGGAGUUAAUUACUUUAAAAAAAAUAGCCAGAGACCGGAAAUCAUUUAUGUCAUUUACGACAUCCAACCCCCAAAAUUCAUGUUGUUUGUUGCUCCACUUAAAGUUCGUGCUGUUAAGCGCACCCAAGUAAUAAUUUGUAUUGUUUUAGCCAAUUUUGCCUAAUUUUAUUUUGUUGAAAAUCGAUUAUUUUAUCGUUCAACUUGUAAGUUUAACAGAAAUGGACACAAUAUUUCAUUCGAGGAGGAUUUCUUAAUAUUCACAACUUUAAGAAGAAACUUUAAUUAAAUACCAUAUUAUGCUGACUUAGCAAAUUAUAUUACUUAAUCUUUUGUAAUUUUUAUUUUUUUUUAAAAAUUUUUCAAAACAAUUCUUUGUGAGAUUUAAAUUUAUCCAUGAACAAAAAGGUCUAAAGUUGUAUUAAUUUCAUAUAUUACAAUCAUACUUUUAGCCCUAUUGCAAUUAAUAUUCAAUAAUUUAAACGAUUAGCCAUAUAAGGAUACAAAAGACCAUUGUUAGGCAAUAAAAAAUAGUAGCAUAAAUUGAAUUUUUUUAUUAUUCAUUAGGUAAUGGUCUUCUCCUUUUUAGGAAGAGUAAAACAACAAACUAGAGGUACUCUUGCGACUGCUAGUAGACAUACACCAGGCCUAUUAAUAAAUGUCUUACAAGCCUGAAUACAUUAUUGUGUUAGUACACAUGGUACAGCUUCACCCGUCAAACACUCAUAUUCAAAAUCUUGAGGACGACCGCGUGCUUCGGCUUCAAAAACUAAUCAAAUAAGUGAAAAUCUUUCGCCCGCGGAGUAGUCAGGGUUUUGAAAAAUUCUCUUGAUAAGGUGAUCUCUAGACUUGAUGACAUUUCUAGCUGGGUCUCUUUGUUAGCAUUGCCUCUUUGCACCCUUAAAACCUUUCACCCGAGGAGUAAUCAGGAGUCUAGGUCAUCGGUAAAAUGUCGGCAUCAAGAAGAGAGUAUUUCCCAUGCUAUUUGUUCUUGGAGUGCACCAGGUGGUAGUUUGCAGCUUGUGAGGGAAACUUUGGCAAAGGAUUCUCCUACUUUGUCGGUGGUUGAUGAUGAGGACCUUGAUUUGGAAGAGCGUAAUAUCAAGCAGUGUCGUAUGAAGUUUUGUGAUGGCCAUUACACCGAUGCAGUUCGGGUUCUUUCUUCUUCAGACGUUGCUCCUUAUAAUGAGGCCACUCUUGUGGAUUUACAGUCAAAACUGAAAAGAAUGGUGUCCUUCCAACAAGUGUAUUCUUCCGAUAGAGGGUUCAGAAUUAUUACGGAGCUAAUUCUUCAGU